GCGGGUAUAGUUUAAUGGUAAAAUUCCUCCUUGCCAAGCCAAGGAGAAUAUGCGGGUUCGAUUCCCGCUACCCGCC
RNAcentral lists this transfer RNA (76 nucleotides) under Anomodon rugelii. RNAcentral describes it as "tRNA-Gly". It matches the Rfam family "tRNA". Rfam says of the family: Transfer RNA (tRNA) molecules are approximately 80 nucleotides in length. Their secondary structure includes four short double-helical elements and three loops (D, anti-codon, and T loops). Lineage: Eukaryota; Viridiplantae; Streptophyta; Bryopsida; Hypnales; Anomodontaceae. RNAcentral also lists the same sequence under 7 other names. The record is from RNAcentral.